This 775-nucleotide ribosomal RNA is filed under the name uncultured Neocallimastigales. RNAcentral describes it as "partial large subunit ribosomal RNA". It matches the Rfam family "Eukaryotic large subunit ribosomal RNA", at positions 24 to 616 of the family's 3401-position model. Lineage: Eukaryota; Fungi; Neocallimastigomycota; Neocallimastigomycetes; Neocallimastigales. The record is from RNAcentral.
UGUGUGAUCGUCUCUCGCAUAUCAAUAAGCGGAGGAAAAGAAACUAACAAGGAUUCCCCUAGUAACGGCGAGUGAAGCGGGAAGAGCUCAAAUUUGAAAUCUUAAAGGGUUUCCCUUUACGAAUUGUAGUUUAAAGAAGUGUUUUCUGUUGAGGUUUUGGUAAAAGUUCUUUGGAAUAGGACAUCAUAGAGGGUGAGAAUCCCGUAUUUGACCUUUACUUUCAACUUUGUGAUACACUUUCAAAGAAUCGGAUUGUUUGGGAAUGCAGUCCAAAAUGGGUGGUAAAUUUCAUCUAAAGCUAAAUAUUGGUGAGAGACCGAUAGCGAACAAGUACCGUGAGGGAAAGAUGAAAAGAACUUUGAAAAGAGAGUUAAACAGUACGUGAAAUUGUCAAAAGGGAAGCGUUUGACACCAGUGUUGUUUUUCUGAAAAUCAAUUAAAGAAGCUGUUUAUGCUAAGCUGUUUAGACUUUAUCAGCUAUCUGUUUAGUUUUGAGCUUUUCUUUAAUGCACUUUUCAGUUAACAAGUCAACAUCAAUUUCUUUUGCUGUAAAAAAGCUUGAGGAAGGUGGCUUGAGAUUCGUCUUAAGUGUUUAUAGCCUCUUGCCUAUGCAGUCGGAGAGAUUGAGGUCUGCAGCGUAGAUCCUUCGGGGCUAAAUGCAUUUGUGCUAAGUUAUAGCAUUUUAUAGACAACUUGUUGACUAUGAUUUGUCUUGUAGCUUACUCGCUUAUGUUAUUUUACCUACGCUUAGGAUGUUGAGCGCAUGUCUCUCUCU